AUUUAGAGCUCUGCUGUCCCCACCAUCACCACCGCCAAACCUUCAGAGGAAGCGAAACUUCCAGAAUUUUCUAAUGACAUAAAUGACAUACCACUCCUGCAGGCAUCCAGGAGACUAUGCUUUACAUUGACGUCCCUCCAGAUUUCCUCUGGGGUCCACAAUGCCCGCACACCCCUUAAGAGUGAUGUUGACGUUUUCCGGAAGGGUGAUAGACCAAAGGCUGAGCAUGCUCUUCAUUUUUGAAGCAGUUGUAGCAAAGACUGAGGAAUUAUCUUAACUGCCUUAGUCGACGUGGGAUAACCUGCCCCGCUCAUGAGCAGACACUUCUGGAGGCAGCCCAGACAAGGAGGCGACGCAAGAGGAAGAUCUCACCGUUUUCAUGCUUGGUCUUCUCUCUUGCCACUGAGUUAAUUCUUCUCACUACGGCUGAUUCCUUAGCUGAUUCAUGACCAUGUUUCCAGGUUUCCAUUAUUGACUACGGACCAGCAGCACUCCAGGGACAACCUUCCCUCCCCAGGUUUUCAGGACCAGAUUUGGAGUGCUGAGGCAGCCAGCUGCCUGGACUGGAUUUUUUCAGCUUCUCUGGUGUUACGUCACUGUGGGAUUACUCCAAUGAGUGAGAACUCCAGCUGCUUGCGUUCUUAGUCUCUCGUGUAGGAUCCAGCUGUUAUGAUCCAUUUCAAAGUUGGCUAAUUAGAAUCUUCAAAUAUAUACUUAUUCAUUCUAGUAGUUCUGCACUCUACAGCCCCCGACCACCACAGAUGUCACAAAAUAAGACCCUCCAAGUCCCAAUUUCAUGUACUGCCCUUGCCUUACAGGGGGGGCUAAUAAACAGACCCAGUUCACUACAAACAACAUUAGAGACAGUCACUCCAAUGACACUUCUCCUUUAUAAAACGAAAAGAAGGAGCUGUCAGACCGUGGACCUAUGCCAAAAGGCUUGGUAAAGCAGAGCAGCUCUGAGACCCCAGUACCCAGGUACCCACUUAAAACAGCAGGUGCCUCCCUGCUCCUGCCGAUUCCUGGCCUGGAACACGUGCCACACUACCCAUGUUGGUCACAGGUUGGUCAUUAGCAGAGUUCUCCAUGCUAAUGAGGUACCUAGAGGCCUUGAGGGUUUGGCCAAUAACCUUCCCUCCCCAGACAUUCCUUCCUACAAAAGGUAUUUAAUCUCUGGCCCACCCUGAGAAGUUGGUACACAUCUAUUUUCCACAAUAAACAACUAAUAAACAGUCUGAAACCAA
Molecule: long non-coding RNA, 1244 nt
Organism: Mastomys coucha (southern multimammate mouse)
Lineage: Eukaryota; Metazoa; Chordata; Mammalia; Rodentia; Muridae
Exons: 2
Source: RefSeq, a predicted model, not a curated record